GGACGUGAGCUGUCUGGCUGUGAUUUCUGCCAUCCUGCUGAUAGCCAGGGUUCAUUUGCUGACCUGGCUGGCUGGGCAUCUCCUUCCUUACCAGCUCCGUGUGCGUGUGCGUGUGCGUGCCAUUCCCUAAGUUGCACACUCAGUGUAAGAGGAUCUGCCACAGAGGAGCACCCCUCUUCAGACAAGGGUGUACAGCAGCCGGGCUCCCCCAUAGGAUUCGAAACGAGCACUCAAAUAGGUGUACUGCUCAGGAUCUGUCAUCUGUAUCUC
This 270-nucleotide small RNA is filed under the name Peromyscus maniculatus bairdii (prairie deer mouse). RNAcentral describes it as "7SK RNA (ENSPEMG00000007295.2)". It matches the Rfam family "7SK RNA", at positions 1 to 248 of the family's 331-position model. From Rfam's summary of the family: 7SK was discovered as an abundant small nuclear RNA in the mid-70s but a possible function has only recently been suggested. The record is from RNAcentral. Lineage: Eukaryota; Metazoa; Chordata; Mammalia; Rodentia; Cricetidae.